Molecule: ribosomal RNA, 1514 nt
Filed under: Bacillus sp. d150
Lineage: Bacteria; Bacillati; Bacillota; Bacilli; Caryophanales; Bacillaceae
Description: bacterial SSU rRNA
Rfam family: Bacterial small subunit ribosomal RNA
Source: RNAcentral
GGCAAACGGGGCGGGGUGCUAUACAUGCAAGUCGAGCGGAGAUUUGAAAAGCUUGCUUUUCAAAUCUUAGCGGCGGACGGGUGAGUAACACGUGGGCAACCUGCCCUUGAGACGGGGAUAACUCCGGGAAACCGGAGCUAAUACCGGAUAACACAUAUCUUCGCAUGAGGAUAUGUUAGAAGGUGGCUUUUAGCUACCACUCAAGGAUGGGCCCGCGGCGCAUUAGCUAGUUGGUGAGGUAACGGCUCACCAAGGCGACGAUGCGUAGCCGACCUGAGCAUGGGUGCAGUACGCUCGCCAAGGCACAUGCGUAACGACUGAAGGACAUCGGCAACUGACUGAGACGUAAGCCUACGGGAGGCAGACAGUAGGGAAUCUUCCGCAAUGGACGAAAGUCUGACCGGAGCAACGCCGGCGUGAGUGAUGAAGGUUUUCGGAUCGUAAAGCUCUGUUGUUAGGGAAGAACAAGUUACCUGUUAAAUAAGCAGGUACCUUGACGGUACCUAACCAGAAAGCCACGGCUAACUACGUGCCAGCAGCCGCGGUAAUACGUAGGUGGCAAGCGUUGUCCGGAAUUAUUGGGCGUAAAGCGCGCGCAGGCGGUUCCUUUAAGUCUGAUGUGAAAGCCCACGGCUCAACCCGUGGAGGGUCAUUGGAAACUGGGGAACUUGAGUGCAGAAGAGGAGAGCGGAAUUUCCACGUGUAGCGGUGAAAUGCGUAGAGAUGUGGAGGAACACCAGUGGCGAAGGCGGCUCUCUGGUCUGUAACUGACGCUGAGGCGCGAAAGCGUGGGGAGCGAACAGGAUUAGAUACCCUGGUAGUCCACGCCGUAAACGAUGAGUGCUAAGUGUUAGAGGGUUUCCGCCCUUUAGUGCUGCAGCAAACGCAUUAAGCACCUCCGCCUGGGGGAGUACGGUCGCAAGACUGAAACUCAAAGGGAAUUGACGGGGACCCGCCACAAGCGGUGGAGCAUGGUGGUUUAAUUCGAAGCAACGCCGGAAGAACCUUACCAGGUCUUGACCAUCCUCUGCUAACUUCUAAGAGAUAGAAGGUUCCCUUCGGGGACACGAGUGGACAGGUGGUGCAUGGUUGUCGUAAAAAACGUGUCGUGAGAUGUUGGGUUAAGUCCCGCAACGAGCGCAACCCUUGACUCUUAGUUGCCAGCAUUCAGUUGGGCACUCUAAGGUGACUGCCGGUGACAAACCGGAGGAAGGUGGGGAUGACGUCAAAUCAUCAUGCCCCUUAUGACCGUGGGCUACACACGUGCUACAAUGGAUGGUACAAAGGGCUGCAAAACCGUGAGGUCGAGCCAAUCCCAUAAAACCAUUCUCAGUUCGGAUUGUAGGCUGCAACUCGCCUACAUGAAGCCGGAAUCGCUAGUAAUCGCGGAUCAGCAUGCCGCGGUGAAUACGUUCCCGGGUCUUGUACACACCGCCCGUCACCCCUCAAGUUUGUAACACCCGAAGUCGGUGAGGUAACCUUUGGAGCCAGCCGCCGAAGGUGACAGAUAUGGG